GAUGAACGCUGGCGGCGUGCCUAAUACAUGCAAGUCGAGCGAACAGACGAGGAGCUUGCUCCUCUGACGUUAGCGGCGGACGGGUGAGUAACACGUGGAUAACCUACCUAUAAGACUGGGAUAACUUCGGGAAACCGGAGCUAAUACCGGAUAAUAUAUUGAACCGCAUGGUUCAAUAGUGAAAGACGGUUUUGCUGUCACUUAUAGAUGGAUCCGCGCCGCAUUAGCUAGUUGGUAAGGUAACGGCUUCCAAGGCAACGAUGCGUAGCCGACCUGAGAGGGUGAUCGGCCACACUGGAACUGAGACACGGUCCAGACUCCUACGGGAGGCAGCAGUAGGGAAUCUUCCGCAAUGGGCGAAAGCCUGACGGAGCAACGCCGCGUGAGUGAUGAAGGUCUUCGGAUCGUAAAACUCCGUUAUUAGGGAAGAACAAAUGUGUAAGUAACUAUGCACGUCUUGACGGUACCUAAUCAGAAAGCCACGGCUAACUACGUG
This 496-nucleotide ribosomal RNA is filed under the name uncultured bacterium. RNAcentral's name for it is "partial 16S ribosomal RNA". It matches the Rfam family "Bacterial small subunit ribosomal RNA", at positions 28 to 507 of the family's 1533-position model. The record is from RNAcentral.